Oncorhynchus nerka (sockeye salmon) is the source of this 2379-nucleotide long non-coding RNA. RefSeq lists it as uncharacterized. The transcript is spliced from 2 exons. The record is from RefSeq and is a predicted model, not a curated record. NCBI's taxonomy places the organism in Eukaryota, Metazoa, Chordata, Actinopteri, Salmoniformes, Salmonidae.
CGCAGGUGUUAUCGAAGAGGAUGUUGUUACUAAUUUGUUAGCUUCUCCCCUUUUCAAGAAUAACUUUCAACAAGAAGUUAUGUUUCUCAAAUUAUCAGUGGAAUUGUGUUUUUACUGCGCUUCCUGUUGUUAGCCAUCUCUUUUGAAAAAUAUCUUGAUAUUAAUAACUCUCAACCAAAACCGGCUGAGAGUUGAGUUACUGCCUGCACAUUAUAUAGUGCUGAAACUAGGCUGCGUGCACGUGAAGAUGCACUACAUGACCAAAAGUAUGUGGACACCUGCUUGUUGAAUAUCUCAUUCCAAAAUCAUGGGCAUUAAUAUGGAGUUGGUCCCUCCCCUGUAACAGCCUCCACUCUUCCUGGAAGGCUUUCCACUAGAUGUUGGAACAUUGUUGCUAGGGACUUGCUUCCAUUCAGCCACAAGAGCAUUAGUGAGGUCAGGCACUGAUGUUGGGCGAUUAGGCCUGGCUCACAGUCAGUGUUCCAAUUCAUCCUAAAGGUGUUCAAUAGGGUUGAGGUCAGGGCUUUGUGCAGGCCAGUCAAGUUCUUCCACGCCGAUCUCCGACAAACCAUUUCUGUAUGGACCUCGCUUUGUCCACGGAGGCAUUGUCAUGCUGAAACAGGAAAGGGCCUUCCCCAAACUGUUGCCACAAAGUUGGGUGCACAGAAUCAUCUACAAUGUCAUUGUAUGCUGUAGAGUUAAGGUUUUCCUUCACUGGUACAAAGUGAACCAUGAAAAACAGCCCCAGACCAUUAUUCCUCCUCCACCUAACUUUACAGUUGGCACUAUGCAUUCGGGCAGGUAGUAUUCUCCUGGCAUCCGCCAAACUCAGAAUCGUCCAUCAAACUGCCAGAUGGUGAAGUGUGAUUCAUAACUCCAGAGAACGUGUUUCCACUGCUCCAGAGUCCAAUGACGGUGAGCUUCACACCACUCCAGUCGACGCUGGGCAUUGUGCAUGGUGAUCUUAGGCUUGUGUGCGGCUGCUCGACCACGGAAACCCAUUUCAUGAAGCUCCUGACGAACAGUUAUUGUGCUGAAGUUGCUUCCAGAGGCUGUUUGGUUCUCGGUAGUUGUGUGUUGCAACUGAGGACAGAUGAUUUUUACACACUACUCGCCUACUACUUCGCGGCUGAGCCGUUGUUGCUCCUAGACGUUUCCAUUUCACAAUAACAGCACUUACAGUACACCGGGGCAGCUCUAGCAGGGCAUAAAUUUGACACACUGACUUGUUGGAAAAGUAGCAUCCUAUGACGGUGUUACUGAGCUCUUCAGUACGGGCCAUUCUACUGCCAAUGUUUGUCUAAGGAGAUUGCAUGUCUCUGUGCUCGAUUUUAUACACCUGUCAGCAACGGGUGUGGCUGAAAUAGCCGAAUCCACACAUUUGAAGGGAUGUCCACAUCAUUUUGUGUAUAUAUAGUCUAUUUCAUGUGCUUUGCGAUUGUGUAGGCUACUUUGUGCAUGAUUUCUUGUUGUACUAAAUCAUUGAUAAGUCCUAUACCUCCACUACACUACUUUGAUAUAGGCAUCAGUGGGGAAGUGAGUAUAUGUACUGAAACAGCACAUACCUGUGUGUGGCCUCCACUACACUACUUUGAUAUAGGCAUCAGUGGGGAAGUGAGUAUAUGUACUGAAACAGCUAUACACCUCCACUACACUACUGACCCUUUUGUGUUUUUACAAAAAACUCUCCUACAUCAGUGCGUUGGUAUUACUGUCCUUUCAGCAUCGAGAACCUGUCACACACGUAAGGCCUAUAAUCGAUAUAAAUACUUCAGGUAUUCACAUUUCCAGAAAGAAGUGUAUAUUUUUGGUCUGGUCGAAGAAGCGCGGUUUCAUGGGUUACUGAAUAGAAGCGGAUAAUUAUGAGGUUUUUUUUUAUUUUUCUGCUGGUCAGAGACAAGACCGAGACACUCAAAAUGUGGUCUGAAGACUGGACUAGAGACCUAGACCCGUAUUCACACACUACAACACGGGACUGUAUGUUCGUCAACAGAAACAGAACGGGAGGGUAAGAUGCGGUUUAUUUACACAGCAACACAGUCUAGUCAGGAUAACGACUCGUCUACCUCUGUUCGACUCCCUGGGAUCAGGGUCCAGAGUAAGUCUGCGCUGCAGACUCGUUGAAGUAGAAUUUAUCAUCCAAAUCGAGGUCCGGUUCAGAAGGAUCCUGUGACGGCAGGACAGAAGUCAGUGCAGUGCUUCUGCCAUGAAGUCUUGGAGGCCCCAAAAAAACUUCUCGGCUGCAGAUAUGAUGUCUGACCUCCUGGACACUUGUGGCUAUAAAUGCUACUAAAAUUCACCAUCUUUACAAUAAGUGGGUCACUGCUAGAUGGGAUACACUUUAUGUCAAAUUAACAUCAAAAGUAAAACAAAAUAAUU